This 639-nucleotide ribosomal RNA is filed under the name uncultured marine eukaryote. Its description in RNAcentral is "SSU rRNA". It matches the Rfam family "Eukaryotic small subunit ribosomal RNA", at positions 609 to 1255 of the family's 1831-position model. The record is from RNAcentral.
GUCGUUGCAGUUAAAAAGCUCGUAGUUGGAUUUCGGAGUGGGCCAGUUGGUCCGCCGCAAGGUGUGUUACUGACUGGUUUGCUCUUCUUCGCAAAGACUGCGUGUGCUCUUGAGUGAGUGUGCGUAGGAUUUACGACGUUUACUUUGAAAAAAUUAGAGUGUUCAAAGCAGGCUAUUGCUUGAAUACAUGAGCAUGGAAUAAUGGAAUAGGACUUUGGUCCCAUUUUGUUGGUUUCUAGGGCCGAAGUAAUGAUUAAGAGGGACAAUUGGGGGCAUCCGUAUUUCGUUGUCAGAGGUGAAAUUCUUGGAUUUACGAAAGACGAACAACUGCGAAAGCACUUGCCAAGAGUGUUUUCAUUAAUCAAGAACGAAAGUUAGAGGAUCGAAGACGAUCAGAUACCGUCCUAGUUCUAACCAUAAACGAUGUCGACUAGGGAUCAGCGGGCGUUAUCGUACGACCCCGUUGGCACCUUACGGGAAACCAAAGUUUUUGGAUUCCGGGGGAAGUAUGGUUGCAAAGCUGAAACUUAAAGGAAUUGACGGAAGGGCACCACCAGGAGUGGAGCCUGUGGCUCAAUUUGACUCAACACGGGAAAACUUACCAGGUCCAGACAUAGUAAAGAUUGACAGGUUGAGAGC